CCAGACUCCUACGGGAGGCAGCAGUGGGGGAUAUUGCACAAUGGGGGGAACCCUGAUGCAGCGACGCCGCGUGAAGGAAGAAGUAUCUCGGUAUGUAAACUUCUAUCAGCAGGGAAGAAAAUGACGGUACCUGACUAAGAAGCCCCGGCUAACUACGUGCCAGCAGCCGCGGUAAUACGUAGGGGGCAAGCGUUAUCCGGAUUUACUGGGUGUAAAGGGAGCGUAGGCGGCAGUGCAAGUCUGGAGUGAAAGCCCGGGGCCCAACCCCGGGACUGCUCUUGGAACUGCAUGGCUGGAGUACAGGAGGGGCAGGCGGAAUUCCUAGUGUAGCGGUGAAAUGCGUAGAUAUUAGGAGGAACACCGGUGGCGAAGGCGGCCUGCUGGACUGUGACUGACGUUGAGGCCCGAAGGCGUGGGGAGCAAACAGGAUUAGAUACCCGAGUACUU
This 447-nucleotide ribosomal RNA is filed under the name uncultured bacterium. Its description in RNAcentral is "bacterial SSU rRNA". It matches the Rfam family "Bacterial small subunit ribosomal RNA", at positions 331 to 795 of the family's 1533-position model. The record is from RNAcentral.